Molecule: long non-coding RNA, 1918 nt
Organism: Erinaceus europaeus (western European hedgehog)
Lineage: Eukaryota; Metazoa; Chordata; Mammalia; Eulipotyphla; Erinaceidae
Exons: 3
Source: RefSeq, a predicted model, not a curated record
CCAUUAGGUCCUCUGUCAUCCUUUUCCAGGACAUGUACUCUGCCCUCCACCCACCCCAGAAUCUUUUACUUUGGUGCAAUACACCAACUCCAGUUCAAGUUCUAUUUAGAACUCAGCACUCUUGUGGUGGGCCUUGGGUACAAGAUGACACCCCUCCAAAGGUGCCAAAGUUUCCCUAAAGCUGCCCUGGCCUCUGAGAGAGGUGGGCACUUAUUUUUAAUAGAACAUGCCUUAGGCGGUGGGAACCAGAUUAAAAGUGUUGAGGGCAACUUCUAUCUCCUGAGGGUUUUCACUAGAACAUAAGAAACAGGACACCCUUGCUGCUGUCCUGGGUUGCAGAGGACUGAGUGUGUAGGGGUCUGGUCCACAGGAAGGCACUACUUCCUUUUCUUUUUUUUUUUUUCUGCUGGGGAGGUUUGUCCAGUGUGUACUUACUCUGAGAACUAGCAUGUUAGAAGUUACCAAGGGUCUGGUCCCAGAGAGAUAAGAGUUCUGGUAGAAGGAAGCUCAAAGCUCUGUAGGGAGAGAGGGGCUAUGUACUGGUAAAAAAGGGAAAGGGAACUCAUUGAAAUAACCCUCAGCUGGAAGAGAGGAGGUGGGCUUUAGGGCAACUCUUGAUUUCACUGCUGUGGAUUAAAUAACUGAUGAGUUUCUUUGGGUCUUGGUUUCUCCAUCCACAAUGAGAGGCUCUAGGCACAAUAAGAGAUGCUUGCUUUCUUGCUGGUUCUGUGAGCAGCUUGAAGAGGACAUGAAGUAGACAAGCAGAUACACGAAACUGAAAACAAUUCAAAGAAAAGAGUAAACGUUAGAUCUUCCUGUGAUAUGAAUUUGGUUGACCUUUCUUGGAGGCUGCUGGCAUCAGGCACCUGGGGGAACACCAAGCAGACAAGGUUGUUGGUGCAUGUCCUGGGACUGUCUGCACUGAAGGGACUCUGACCGCUGAUGGACCUGCAAGUGAGAGGUAAGCAACUAGAAAAGAGGGAAGCCCACAGUGGGAGGUCACUUCACAGACACAGGAGAGAAUGUUGGAGGCCUUCUGCACAACUCUGAACUUGUGCAAUGGGCUGCUGAUUUCUCAUCGUCCUCUGAGGUAGGUUUCAGUUUCAUAAUGAGCCUUCAUGAAAAUAACCAACUUGGUGACAACCAAAGGCCUUGUGGAGGCAGCUGAAUGGAAAACUGAUCUCUGAAAAACCCAACUAUCUUUACCUUCUCAGGGCCAAAUGUUUCCCUCAUGCAGGGUGAUCUCUGGGUCUCCUCGCCACACCCUGACUCCCCCACCUGGCUUUUCCUGAGGAGGAUGUCACAUUUGGGUGGAGAUUUUCCACCCAGCUGGGCGAUUUCUGUUUUUGUUAUCAUAGACUUCUUAACAAGCUCUCUGGGGAUAGUGAUCUUUCUUUCUUUCUUUCUCUUUCUUUCUUUCUUUCUUUCUUUCUUUCUUUCUUUCUUUCUCUCUUUCUUUCUUUCUCUCUUUCUUUUUUUUUGGUGGGGGGAGGGCACCCUCUGUCAAUAGUUAGGUGUUUCAGGGAUGGCUGGUGAUUCAAGAUGACUGACCGAGUGAGGGAUGCUAUGGUGUCUCCUUUUUUGGUUUGAGUUGGCUUUCACAUAACUGCACGGGCUACUUUCACAAAGCAGUGGAGACACAGAGCACAUGCUGUUGCUUUGCGCACCCUGUUAUUCUACACACACCCUCCCACCCCCAAUGCCCAUGUUUAUGUGCUCUGUGUCCCCUACCUCAGUCCUUCCCCCAACUUCCCCCCACAUGAAUUUUGAGAACAAUGAAAAGUAUGAACUAUGGGCUCACCAAACUUCCUCCCCUGAGCACUUCCGACUGCCUAGCAGAAAUCAAUAAAUUAAGAUGAAUAAAAGGACAUUUGGCUUUGUCUGGAUUGUGUUGUCAGGAUAGUACAGAAGGGCUGGU